This 492-nucleotide ribosomal RNA is filed under the name uncultured bacterium. RNAcentral's name for it is "partial 16S ribosomal RNA". It matches the Rfam family "Bacterial small subunit ribosomal RNA", at positions 28 to 507 of the family's 1533-position model. The record is from RNAcentral.
GAUGAACGCUAGCUACAGGCUUAACACAUGCAAGUCGAGCGGCCGCGGCAUCGUAAGCUUGCUUUCGGUAGCCGGCGAGCGGCGCCCGGGCGUUUAACUCGUAACGACCCUGCCUCAUACUCGGGAAUAGCCUAGCGGAACUAUUAUUAAUGCCCGGUGCUUUCAGAGUUCCGCCUGCGGCUUUGAACGAAGAUUUUUCGGUAUUGGAUGGCGAUGCGUCCCAUUAGCUUGUUGUCGGGGUAACGGCUCACCAAGGCAUCGACGGGUAGGGGUUCUGAGAGGAAGGUCGCGCACAUGGGAACUGAGACACGGACAAAACGACUGCGGGAGGCAGCAGUGAGGAAUAUGGGGCAGUGGUCGGAAGUCUGAAACAGCCAAGUAGCGUGCAGGAAGACGGCGCUGCGGGAGGUAAGCUGCUUUUAGGUGUGAAUAGAACGGGGCUCGUGGGAGCUCAUGCAGGUACCAUCAGAAAAAGCACCGGCUAAUUCCGUG